UUCUAUUAUGGAGAGUUUGAUCCUGGCUCAGGACGAACGCUGGCGGCGUGCCUAAUACAUGCAAGUCGAGCGGAUUGAAG
RNAcentral lists this ribosomal RNA (80 nucleotides) under Sporosarcina quadrami. Its description in RNAcentral is "partial 16S ribosomal RNA". It matches the Rfam family "Bacterial small subunit ribosomal RNA", at positions 1 to 76 of the family's 1533-position model. The record is from RNAcentral. Lineage: Bacteria; Bacillati; Bacillota; Bacilli; Caryophanales; Caryophanaceae.